UGCCUUGAAGAUCGGAGUGCUUGCACUCUGUGAAACAAGAUACAGGCUAGCGGCGGACGGGUGAGUAACACGUGGGUAACCUGCCCAAGAGAUCGGGAUAACACCUGGAAACAGAUGCUAACACCGGAUAACAACAGAUGAUGCCUAUCAACUGUUUAAAAGAUGGUUCUGCUAUCACUCUUGGAUGGACCUGCGGUGCAUUAGCUAGUUGGUAGGGUAACGGCCUACCAAGGCGAUGAUGCAUAGCCGAGUUGAGAGACUGAUCGGCCACAUUGGGACUGAGACACGGCCCAAACUCCUACGGGAGGCAGCAGUAGGGAAUCUUCCACAAUGGACGCAAGUCUGAUGGAGCAACGCCGCGUGAGUGAAGAAGGGUUUCGGCUCGUAAAGCUCUGUUGUUGGUGAAGAAGGACAGGGGUAGUAACUGACCUUUGUUUGACGGUAAU
RNAcentral lists this ribosomal RNA (446 nucleotides) under uncultured Lactobacillus sp. RNAcentral's name for it is "bacterial SSU rRNA". It matches the Rfam family "Bacterial small subunit ribosomal RNA", at positions 56 to 479 of the family's 1533-position model. The record is from RNAcentral. Lineage: Bacteria; Bacillati; Bacillota; Bacilli; Lactobacillales; Lactobacillaceae.